RNAcentral lists this ribosomal RNA (252 nucleotides) under uncultured bacterium. Its description in RNAcentral is "partial 16S ribosomal RNA". It matches the Rfam family "Bacterial small subunit ribosomal RNA", at positions 524 to 775 of the family's 1533-position model. The record is from RNAcentral.
UACGAAGGGGGCUAGCGUUGUUCGGAAUUACUGGGCGUAAAGCGCGCGCAGGUGGUUUUGCAAGUCAGGGGUGAAAGCCCAGAGCUCAACUCUGGAACUGCCUUUGAGACUGUAAGACUUGGGUACGGGAGAGGUGAGUGGAAUUCCGAGUGUAGAGGUGAAAUUCGUAGAUAUUCGGAAGAACACCAGUGGCGAAGGCGGCUCACUGGCCCGUUACCGACACUCAGGCGCGAUAGCGUGGGGAGCAAACAG